RNAcentral lists this ribosomal RNA (406 nucleotides) under Fusobacteriota bacterium. RNAcentral describes it as "Fusobacteria bacterium partial 16S ribosomal RNA". It matches the Rfam family "Bacterial small subunit ribosomal RNA", at positions 355 to 774 of the family's 1533-position model. Lineage: Bacteria; Fusobacteriati; Fusobacteriota. The record is from RNAcentral.
UGGGGAAUAUUGCACAAUGGACGGAAGUCUGAUGCAGCAACGCCGCGUGCGGGAUGACGGCCUUCGGGUUGUAAACCGCUUUUUCUCAUGACGAAGUUUUUUGACGGUAGUGGGGGAAGAAGCACCGGCUAACUACGUGCCAGCAGCCGCGGUGAUACGUAGGGUGCGAGCGUUGUCCGGAAUUAUUGGGCGUAAAGAGCUUGUAGGCGGUUUGUCGCGUCGAUAGUGCAAACUCAGUGCUUAACGCUGAGCCUGCUGUUGAUACGGGCAGACUAGAGGAAGGUAGGGGAGAAUGGAAUUCCCGGUGGAGCGGUGGAAUGCGCAGAUAUCGGGAGGAACACCGGUGGCGAAGGCGGUUCUCUGGGCCUUUCCUGACGCUGAGAAGCGAAAGCGUGGGGAGCGAACA